Molecule: transfer RNA, 72 nt
Filed under: Ictidomys tridecemlineatus (thirteen-lined ground squirrel)
Lineage: Eukaryota; Metazoa; Chordata; Mammalia; Rodentia; Sciuridae
Description: Spermophilus tridecemlineatus (thirteen-lined ground squirrel) tRNA
Rfam family: tRNA
About the family: Transfer RNA (tRNA) molecules are approximately 80 nucleotides in length.
Source: Rfam by way of RNAcentral
GGGGCUGUAGCUUAGUGGUAGAGUGCUUGCCUAGAACACAUGAAGCACUGGGUUUGAUCCUCAGCAGCACUA